Molecule: long non-coding RNA, 507 nt
Organism: Macadamia integrifolia
Lineage: Eukaryota; Viridiplantae; Streptophyta; Magnoliopsida; Proteales; Proteaceae
Exons: 3
Source: RefSeq, a predicted model, not a curated record
AAGUGGGUGAGAGGAGUAAAGAAUAGGGAGAAAAGAGGAAGAAGGAAGAGGAAGGAAGUUUUCCCCUUGGAUUUUGGAGUCGCAUCUUGCUUGGCCAUUGUCGGAAUUGUGACCGGUGACUUGAGAUCUUCAUUUUGAGGGAAACAAAGGUUGAAGGAUUUUAAGGUGACAUUUGAGGUUGGGAAAAAGAUUUCCAAGAUUUGGGGUUUUACAAGUAAAGAUGAUUUUGCAGGCUAUUCAGUAGAGAAACCUGUGUCAAGUCCUACCGACAAAACCCCAAUGAGGGAUUGGUGGGUCCCUGAAAGAUUUGAACACGAUGAAGAUUGCCCAUGUGAGAGUUAUGUUGCUAGGCAACAAUGAUAGAUUCGAUUUGAUGUACUUUUAAUUAUGUUGGUAUAUUUUCUUUUUGUGCUGUCGAUAUUUAAAUUGUUAUUUCUUGUGUAAACAUGUAAAUAUUUUAUGUAUAACAAUUUGGGUAUCAAGAGUAUAUGGGAAUUUCAGGUUAUU